Transfer RNA from Theileria parva strain Muguga, 73 nucleotides. It matches the Rfam family "tRNA". From Rfam's summary of the family: Transfer RNA (tRNA) molecules are approximately 80 nucleotides in length. Their secondary structure includes four short double-helical elements and three loops (D, anti-codon, and T loops). The record is from Rfam. Lineage: Eukaryota; Apicomplexa; Aconoidasida; Piroplasmida; Theileriidae.
GGACUUUUAGCUUAAUUGUUAAAGUUUACAUGUGAUAUAUGUGAGAGUUUUGGUUAAAAUCCAAAAAAGUCCA